GACGAACUGUCCUAACGUUGUUCGGAAUCACUGGGCUUAAAGGGCGCGUAGGCGGUCCGACACGUCAGGGGUGAAAUCCUGCAGCUUAACUGCAGAAGUGCCUUUGAUACUGUCGGUCUGGAGGGAGAUAGGGGUGUGCGGAACUUCCAGUGGAGCGGUGAAAUGCGUUGAUAUUGGAAGGAACGCCGGAGGCGAAAGCGGCGCACUGGAUCUCUUCUGACGCUGAGGCGCGAAAGCUAGGGGAGCAAACGGG
Molecule: ribosomal RNA, 253 nt
Filed under: uncultured bacterium
Lineage: Bacteria
Description: partial 16S ribosomal RNA
Rfam family: Bacterial small subunit ribosomal RNA
Source: RNAcentral